RNAcentral lists this small RNA (58 nucleotides) under Caenorhabditis elegans. Its description in RNAcentral is "Unclassified non-coding RNA F20A1.14". Lineage: Eukaryota; Metazoa; Nematoda; Chromadorea; Rhabditida; Rhabditidae. The record is from RNAcentral.
GACACAAGAUUAGCCCAUUGGAUGUCUUGUUAUAACGCACACAUGAGCAUUUUAUGGG